This is a long non-coding RNA of Protobothrops mucrosquamatus (brown spotted pit viper), 184 nucleotides long. RefSeq lists it as uncharacterized. The transcript has 3 exons. The record is from RefSeq and is a predicted model, not a curated record. Lineage: Eukaryota; Metazoa; Chordata; Lepidosauria; Squamata; Viperidae.
CGCUCAUCCAGAAAGCGGUGGACUUUGCCGCUAACCGGACUCAGUUUGGGGAGAAAAUCCACACUUUUGGGGUGAUCCAGGAAAAACUCGCCCGCAUGGCGUUGCUGCACUACGUGACGGAGUCCAUGGCCUACAUGAUCAGCGCCAACAUGGACCGGGGGGCUUCGGACUUCCAGAUCGAGGC